GACGGAGGGUGCUAGCGUUGUUCGGAAUCACUGGGCGUAAAGGGCGCGUAGGCGGCCCCUCGCGUCGGACGUGAAAGCCCGGGGCUCACCCCCGGAAGUGCAUUGGAAACUGGUGGACUCGAGUCCCGGAGAGGAGAGUGGAAUUCCUGGUGUAGCGGUGAAAUGCGUAGAUAUCAGGAGGAACACCGGUGGCGAAGGCGGCUCUCUGGACGGUGACUGACGCUGAGACGCGAAAGCGUGGGGAGCAAACAGG
RNAcentral lists this ribosomal RNA (253 nucleotides) under uncultured bacterium. RNAcentral's name for it is "partial 16S ribosomal RNA". It matches the Rfam family "Bacterial small subunit ribosomal RNA", at positions 524 to 776 of the family's 1533-position model. The record is from RNAcentral.